This is a long non-coding RNA of Syngnathus acus (greater pipefish), 520 nucleotides long. RefSeq lists it as uncharacterized. The transcript is spliced from 3 exons. Lineage: Eukaryota; Metazoa; Chordata; Actinopteri; Syngnathiformes; Syngnathidae. The record is from RefSeq and is a predicted model, not a curated record.
AUGACAAACAAAUGUCUCCUCAUGACGCUGUGUUGCAGCCCAUGAGAGACGUGUGACAGAGUAGCUCAUCGCCGUCUUCCUGUUCGAACCGCUGCGAGAGGAGCAGAGCUCGCUAAUGAGCUCAUCGUUUGCAAACGCGGCAAAACGAAGGCUGGCGUGAAAGACCUCAAGACCAUGUCAGCCAACGCUAGAGAUCCUGUGAUCCUUAGUGAUUGCCAAUCAGAGGUGUGCGACGCUGGAAUUUCUCUUGGAUCAGAAAUGACUCCAGACGGUGCCUGCAGCUUUUAAAAAUCUAAAAAUCAACAUGGUGAAAUCACUAAUGCCAAUAUUAACGAGAACUGGCAAUGCAAACAUUGCUUGAGGUGACAAAACAGGAAGGUAAGGAGCAUUUCUCCAAACCUAAGUCAGAUUAGUAUUUUAGAGAGGCAUUAAGGAGGAUUUAUGUAUGAGUUGCAUUGAUGUUUAUGGCAAGGAUGUUCCCACUUGCGUCUGAAGAGUGAUAAUGCGGCAGAGACGAUGG